Amblyraja radiata (thorny skate) is the source of this 175-nucleotide long non-coding RNA. RefSeq lists it as uncharacterized. Lineage: Eukaryota; Metazoa; Chordata; Chondrichthyes; Rajiformes; Rajidae. The record is from RefSeq and is a predicted model, not a curated record. The transcript is spliced from 3 exons.
CAGUGAAAAGCUUUUGUUGCGUGCUAUCCAGACAGAUCACCUUAUAUACAGCGCCCUCCAUAGUGUCGGGGACAAAGACCCAUCAUUUAUUUAUUUGCCUCUCUACUCCACAAUUUGAGAUUUGUAAUAGAAAAAAACCCACAUGUGGUUAAAGUGCACAUUGUCAGAUUUUAUU